AAACGAUGAACACUAGGUGUCGGGGGAAUCGACCCCCCCGGUGUCGUAGCCAACGCGUUAAGUGUUCCGCCUGGGGAGUACGCACGCAAGUGUGAAACUCAAAGGAAUUGACGGGGGCCCGCACAAGCGGUGGAGUAUGUGGUUUAAUUCGAUGCAACGCGAAGAACCUUACCAGGGUUUGACAUCCUGCGAAUCUCUUGGAAACGAGAGAGUGCCUUCGGGAACGCAGUGACAGGUGGUGCAUGGCUGUCGUCAGCUCGUGUCGUGAGAUGUUGGGUUAAGUCCCGCAACGAGCGCAACCCACGUCGUUAGUUGCCAGCAUUUAGUUGGGCACUCUAGCGGGACCGCCGGUGAUAAACCGGAGGAAGGUGUGGAUGACGUCAAGUCAUCAUGCCCCUUACAUCCUGGGCUACACACGUACUACAAUGCUACGGACAAAGGGCAGCAAACUCGCGAGAGCUAGCAAAUCCCAUAAACCGUGGCUCAGUUCAGAUCGUAGGCUGCAACUCGCCUACGUGAAGGAGGAAUCGCUAGUAAUCGCAGGUCAGCAUACUGCGGUGAAUACGUUCCCGGGCCUUGUACACACCGCCCGUCACACCA
This 600-nucleotide ribosomal RNA is filed under the name uncultured bacterium. RNAcentral's name for it is "bacterial SSU rRNA". It matches the Rfam family "Bacterial small subunit ribosomal RNA", at positions 804 to 1404 of the family's 1533-position model. The record is from RNAcentral.